GGGUUGUGAGGUUAAGCGACUAAGCGUACACGGUGGAUGCCCUGGCAGUCAGAGGCGAUGAAGGACGUGCUAAUCUGCGAUAAGCGCCGGUAAGGUGAUAUGAACCGUUAUAACCGGCGAUUUCCGAAUGGGGAAACCCAGUGUGAUUCGUCACACUAUCAUUAACUGAAUCCAUAGGUUAAUGAGGCGAACCGGGGGAACUGAAACAUCUAAGUACCCCGAGGAAAAGAAAUCAACCGAGAUUCCCCCAGUAGCGGCGAGCGAACGGGGAGGAGCCCAGAGCCUGAAUCAGCAUGUGUGUUAGUGGAAGCGUCUGGAAAGGCGCGCGAUACAGGGUGACAGCCCCGUACACAAAAGCGCAUGUGCUGUGAGCUCGAUGAGUAGGGCGGGACACGUGGUAUCCUGUCUGAAUAUGGGGGGACCAUCCUCCAAGGCUAAAUACUCCUGACUGACCGAUAGUGAACCAGUACCGUGAGGGAAAGGCGAAAAGAACCCCGGCGAGGGGAGUGAAAAAGAACCUGAAACCGUGUACGUACAAGCAGUGGGAGCACCCUUCGGGGUGUGACUGCGUACCUUUUGUAUAAUGGGUCAGCGACUUAUAUUCUGUAGCAAGGUUAACCGUAUAGGGGAGCCGGAGGGAAACCGAGUCUUAACCGGGCGUUAAGUUGCAGGGUAUAGACCCGAAACCCGGUGAUUCAGCCAUGGGCAGGUUGAAGGUUGGGUAACACUAACUGGAGGACCGAACCGACUAAUGUUGAAAAAUUAGCGGAUGACCUGUGGCUGGGGGUGAAAGGCCAAUCAAACCGGGAGAUAGCUGGUUCUCCCCGAAAGCUAUUUAGGUAGCGCCUCGUGAAUUCAUCUCCGGGGGUAGAGCACUGUUUCGGCUAGGGGGCCAUCCCGGCUUACCAACCCGAUGCAAACUGCGAAUACCGGAGAAUGUUAUCACGGGAGACACACGGCGGGUGCUAACGUCCGUCGUGAAGAGGGAAACAACCCAGACCGCCAGCUAAGGUCCCAAAGUCAUGGUUAAGUGGGAAACGAUGUGGGAAGGCCCAGACAGCCAGGAUGUUGGCUUAGAAGCAGCCAUCAUUUAAAGAAAGCGUAAUAGCUCACUGGUCGAGUCGGCCUGCGCGGAAGAUGUAACGGGGCUAAACCAUGCACCGAAGCUGCGGCAGCGACGCUGAUGCGUUGUUGGGUAGGGGAGCGUUCUGUAAGCCUGCGAAGGUGACCUGUGAGGGUUGCUGGAGGUAUCAGAAGUGCGAAUGCUGACAUAAGUAACGAUAAAGCGGGUGAAAAGCCCGCUCGCCGGAAGACCAAGGGUUCCUGUCCAACGUUAAUCGGGGCAGGGUGAGUCGACCCCUAAGGCGAGGCCGAAAGGCGUAGUCGAUGGGAAACGGGUUAAUAUUCCCGUACUUGGUGUUACUGCGAAGGGGGGACGGAGAAGGCUAUGUUGGCCGGGCGACGGUUGUCCCGGUUUAAGCGUGUAGGUGUGUGUUCCAGGUAAAUCCGGUUCACUUUAACACUGAGGCGUGAUGACGAGGCACUACGGUGCUGAAGCAACAAAUGCCCUGCUUCCAGGAAAAGCCUCUAAGCAUCAGGUAACAUCAAAUCGUACCCCAAACCGACACAGGUGGUCAGGUAGAGAAUACCAAGGCGCUUGAGAGAACUCGGGUGAAGGAACUAGGCAAAAUGGUGCCGUAACUUCGGGAGAAGGCACGCUGACACGUAGGUGAAGUGAUUUACUCACGGAGCUGAAGUCAGUCGAAGAUACCAGCUGGCUGCAACUGUUUAUUAAAAACACAGCACUGUGCAAACACGAAAGUGGACGUAUACGGUGUGACGCCUGCCCGGUGCCGGAAGGUUAAUUGAUGGGGUCAGCGCAAGCGAAGCUCCUGAUCGAAGCCCCGGUAAACGGCGGCCGUAACUAUAACGGUCCUAAGGUAGCGAAAUUCCUUGUCGGGUAAGUUCCGACCUGCACGAAUGGCGUAAUGAUGGCCAGGCUGUCUCCACCCGAGACUCAGUGAAAUUGAACUCGCUGUGAAGAUGCAGUGUACCCGCGGCAAGACGGAAAGACCCCGUGAACCUUUACUAUAGCUUGACACUGAACAUUGAGCCUUGAUGUGUAGGAUAGGUGGGAGGCUUUGAAGUGUGGACGCCAGUCUGCAUGGAGCCGACCUUGAAAUACCACCCUUUAAUGUUUGAUGUUCUAACGUGGACCCGUAAUCCGGGUUGCGGACAGUGUCUGGUGGGUAGUUUGACUGGGGCGGUCUCCUCCUAAAGAGUAACGGAGGAGCACGAAGGUUGGCUAAUCCUGGUCGGACAUCAGGAGGUUAGUGCAAUGGCAUAAGCCAGCUUGACUGCGAGCGUGACGGCGCGAGCAGGUGCGAAAGCAGGUCAUAGUGAUCCGGUGGUUCUGAAUGGAAGGGCCAUCGCUCAACGGAUAAAAGGUACUCCGGGGAUAACAGGCUGAUACCGCCCAAGAGUUCAUAUCGACGGCGGUGUUUGGCACCUCGAUGUCGGCUCAUCACAUCCUGGGGCUGAAGUAGGUCCCAAGGGUAUGGCUGUUCGCCAUUUAAAGUGGUACGCGAGCUGGGUUUAGAACGUCGUGAGACAGUUCGGUCCCUAUCUGCCGUGGGCGCUGGAGAACUGAGGGGGGCUGCUCCUAGUACGAGAGGACCGGAGUGGACGCAUCACUGGUGUUCGGGUUGUCAUGCCAAUGGCACUGCCCGGUAGCUAAAUGCGGAAGAGAUAAGUGCUGAAAGCAUCUAAGCACGAAACUUGCCCCGAGAUGAGUUCUCCCUGAGACUUAGAGUCUCCUGAAGGAACGUUGAAGACGACGACGUUGAUAGGCCGGGUGUGUAAGCGCAGCGAUGCGUUGAGCUAACCGGUACUAAUGAACCGUGAGGCUUAACCUUACAACGCCGAAG
Molecule: ribosomal RNA, 2927 nt
Filed under: Salmonella enterica subsp. enterica serovar Typhimurium
Lineage: Bacteria; Pseudomonadati; Pseudomonadota; Gammaproteobacteria; Enterobacterales; Enterobacteriaceae
Description: 23S ribosomal RNA
Rfam family: Bacterial large subunit ribosomal RNA
Source: RNAcentral